UGCAGUCGAACGAUGAUCAGGAGCUUGCUUCUGUGAUUAGUGGCGAACGGGUGAGUAACACGUGAGUAACCUGCCCCUGACUCUGGGAUAAGCGUUGGAAACGACGUCUAAUACUGGAUAUGACUUCCGGCCGCAUGGUCUGGUUGUGGAAAGAUUUUUUGGUUGGGGAUGGACUCGCGGCCUAUCAGCUUGUUGGUGAGGUAAUGGCUCACCAAGGCGACGACGGGUAGCCGGCCUGAGAGGGUGACCGGCCACACUGGGACUGAGACACGGCCCAGACUCCUACGGGAGGCAGCAGUGGGGAAUAUUGCACAAUGGGCGAAAGCCUGAUGCAGCAACGCCGCGUGAGGGAUGACGGCCUUCGGGUUGUAAACCUCUUUUAGUAGGGAAGAAGCGAAAGUGACGGUACCUGCAGAAAAAGCACCGGCUAACUACGUGCCAGCAGCCGCGGUAAUACGUAGGGUGCAAGCGUUGUCCGGAAUUAUUGGGCGUAAAGAGCUCGUAGGCGGUUUGUCGCGUCUGCUGUGAAAUCCCGAGGCUCAACCUCGGGCUUGCAGUGGGUACGGGCAGACUAUAGUGCGGUA
This 584-nucleotide ribosomal RNA is filed under the name bacterium 56-L049616-122-011-H07. RNAcentral's name for it is "bacterial SSU rRNA". It matches the Rfam family "Bacterial small subunit ribosomal RNA", at positions 56 to 653 of the family's 1533-position model. The record is from RNAcentral.